RNAcentral lists this transfer RNA (72 nucleotides) under bacterium. RNAcentral's name for it is "tRNA-Arg". It matches the Rfam family "tRNA". Rfam says of the family: Transfer RNA (tRNA) molecules are approximately 80 nucleotides in length. Their secondary structure includes four short double-helical elements and three loops (D, anti-codon, and T loops). Further hydrogen bonds mediate the characteristic L-shaped molecular structure. tRNAs have two regions of fundamental functional importance: the anti-codon, which is responsible for specific mRNA codon recognition, and the 3' end, to which the tRNAs corresponding amino acid is attached (by aminoacyl-tRNA synthetases). tRNAs cope with the degeneracy of the genetic code in two manners: having more than one tRNA (with a specific anti-codon) for a particular amino acid; and 'wobble' base-pairing, i.e. permitting non-standard base-pairing at the 3rd anti-codon position. The record is from RNAcentral.
GCCCCGAUAGCACAAUGGAUAGUGCAACGGACUUCUAAGCCGUUGAUGUUGGUCCGAUUCCAGCUCGGGGCA